Molecule: ribosomal RNA, 213 nt
Filed under: uncultured Anaerolineaceae bacterium
Lineage: Bacteria; Bacillati; Chloroflexota; Anaerolineae; Anaerolineales; Anaerolineaceae
Description: partial 16S ribosomal RNA
Rfam family: Bacterial small subunit ribosomal RNA
Source: RNAcentral
AAGGUGAGGAUGAUGUCAAGUCAGCAUGACCUUUAUAUCCAGGCGUACACACACGCUACAAUGGUCUGUACAAUGGGUAGCCAAGCCGCGAGGCGGAGCCAAUCCUGAAAGCAGGCCUCAGUUCAGAUUGCAGUCUGCAACUCGACUGCAUGAAGCCGGAGUUGCUAGUAACCGCAGGUCAGCAAUACUGCGGUGAAUACGUUCCCGGGUCUU